RNAcentral lists this long non-coding RNA (15232 nucleotides) under Phoenix dactylifera (date palm). RNAcentral's name for it is "long non-coding RNA (PDAC_LNC003763)". The record is from RNAcentral. Lineage: Eukaryota; Viridiplantae; Streptophyta; Magnoliopsida; Arecales; Arecaceae.
UUUUUUUUGGUAAAAACGAUAAUUUAAAUUACUCUAACGUAAGUAUAACCAGCCAAAUCAUAAGAAAGCAAAACAUUCAAAGGAGAUGGAACAUUUGCUACCGAUAUCCAAAGAAACUCUCCAGAGUACCGAGCAACGAAGGAGGCGACACAGUCUGCGGCCCUGUUCGUCUUACGACAUACAUGUGCAAUUUGAAACUCAACCGCUUCCUAAAGCAGCCUUCAAGUCUCCCGAAUGAGUGGAUGACCAUCACCGUACCUAUCCACACCCUGGAUCCAAUUGAUCACCAAAGAAAAGUCCCCCUCUAGAUACACCUACUCGGCACGAAGAACCCACCUCGCAUAAGAUAUACCCUCCCAAGCUGCUCGAAGCUCUGCCCCAACAAUAGUAAGACUUGGUGUGCGGCGCCCUCCAACAGCUAUUAGCCUGCCCAGAGAAUCUCUGUCACGAAAUCCACACCUCCAAACGCACCAUCCUCCGACACGCUACCAUCGAAGUUCACUUUGAGAUGACCAAGAGUUGGGGUACUCAAGAAAUAAAGACGAACCUCGGCACUAUGACAGCGGAAGGAGUGCCCUAGAUGUCCCUAGUCAACCCAGAAGAUAACAUAGCAGUAGCAGCGAUGACCUCCCCCGCAUGUAGCGUAGCCCUAUCCACCACCAUCCUCAAAGAAUCCCUCCUGCCCUCAAAGAGGCCAUCAUUCCUGUCCAACUAUAUAUAAUAAGCUAAAUAUGCUCUAAGGAACUCCACAUCAGCAGAGCUGGGACUUUGCAUGGAGAUUCUCAACAAGUGAAUUAGAUCCUGCACCAACUCUAUCGAGUGGGGUAGGGGCAUCGAUGACCUACUCCAUAUCUCCCUGGCCCUGAGACACUGCAAAAGAACAUGAUCUAUGGUCUUCUCGGUAUUUGUGCAUACCUCACACCACUGAGAAACCCGCACACCACGCCUAGCAAGCAGACUCCUGGUCGGUAGGCUCCCCAUGCUACCUUCCAGAUGAAGAACGCCACCCAUGGGUGAAUCCACAUUCUCCAUAUCCAACCUUCAUCUAUUUGCCGAGCUGACUCCCUACUGAAUAGAGCAUGUAGAUUCCUAGCUCGCACCCGCGACCGCCCGACGACAACCACACUAGCCUGUCAGGUUUCUUCUGAGCAGAAGUCAGAAGGGGCAAGACCAUCUCUGCCAAUUGCUCUCCAAACACCUUCCAAAUCAACCCAUCCCUCCACAGACCCCCAACUGGGUCCAACAAAUCACGGACCCUGCACCCUGCCUAUCUCACCGAGUCCACCAUGGUCAGCAAGCGAUUGAUCUGAGCUCCUUCACAACCCUCUGCACCCCCCUUCCAAAAUCUUUCCCUCUUCGGAAUCUAUCCCCGCCCCAAAUAAAAAAAACUCCAAACCUACUUCACCUCCCACCAAACCACCGCACAACCCCACUCCACCUCCCGCCCCCAACCCUCUCAUCCAAUGAUCGGGCCCAACAAGCCCACCGCAUAACUCCAAUCACCAUCUCACUAGUGGGCCCAAUAGUUCGCACCAUCUGUUCAGGACCCGCCCACCAGCACUUCUGCGGGCCAAUCGAGCCCGCGCCACCUCCUAACAGCCCACUUCCACUCUUCAAUUCAAGGGCCCAACAAGCCCUUUCUUCCACGGGCCCACCAAUUAAAAUUAUUCAAGUCUGCAAAUUGCUAAAGUCAGAUUCAGUUCGCUAAUUGAAGAGCCCAUCAGCUGCAACCACACCCUGAUCGUCGCCCCAACCUAGGUCAGGUUUCUUUCCUUAUAAAAAUUAUAUCUAUUUGUCUAAAUUUAGCAUCAAUUAACUCUUAAGUGUUUUAUUGAUAUUGCUUCCUAAAAAAAAAAUUCAACACACCCACUCGAGACAACAGCAAAACUCUAAUAUUGGUCUAUCUUUGCUAUGAAUUGUAAGGUACUUGAUCUUUGGAAGUUCUUUGAGGCUCUGUGCAGCCCCACAAUACACUGAAUAACUAGUACUAUCUGACUGCAACUACUUGCCGAGAUUUAUUACGUAAUUUUGAGCUAAUUUCGAUUGCUAGAGGUUAGUUUCCGUUUAUAUUGAGCAUAUACGUUGCAUUUUAGAUAUCAUUUUCAUGCAUUAAGUCUGCCUAAGAACCACCACUGUCUUAGCUUUGUAGGGUCAAGCAUAAUUUAGCACCCUUCGUAUAUACACCUUCGUAGUGUCGUCCCACAUUCCGAUACCUAAUCUACUAUGGAUGCUUGCAUCGAAGCCCUAAUGAAGGCAGUCCAGAACUUGACCACAGUAUCCACCCAGGCUUACGCUCAACUAGACUCAGCUGAGGCUAACCUUCAGAGGAUUAUAAGAUCCAAAGAAGGUAGUGCCUCCCAUUUGGAUGGCUGAGAGGUUGAGGAUGAAACCUUAGACCAUCUAGGGUCGGCUCGACAAGGUCAAUUUGAUCCUAGCUCUUUUUCAGGCCGUCCUCAAACCUACCCUCGUCAUAGAGUACAAGGUUCCUUUUCUAAUGUCAAUAGGGGUUAUCGAUACAACGUAGAACUUAGAGAGCCCCGUGAUCAUGAUGAGAAUGUGUUGAAGAGCAUUAGGGUUGAAGCAUCCACCUUCGACGGUCGCCUUGACCCAAAGCUUUUCUCAGACUGGCUAUACGAAAUGGACCACUUCUUUGAGUGGUAUAACUUGUCUGAUGAAAAGAAGGUCCGAUUUACCAGAAUGAAGUUCAUUGGUUGAGCUAAGUUUUUCUAGCAAAAUACUGAACAACUUUUGGGUAGGAAACAUCAACCUACCAUAACUGAUUGGAUAGAAAUGAAAAAAGACACUUAAGGAGAAAUACUUGCCCAUUAGCUACCAAGACGAUCACAUCACACAAUUUGAUAAAUACAUGAUGCGAUGUAAUGUAAUUGAGGAUGAGAGAAUGGUCCUGAGUCGGUUCUAUAGAAGUCUCAAUGAUGAACUCAGGAAGGAACUUAUCCUUCGAGUGGUGUCCACGUUAGACCAGGCCUAUACAUUCAUAAUGAACUAUGAGCAGGUCUCCAAAUCCAUAUUUGUGAGGUGCCCUAGCAUUCGGGGUGCAUCCACGAAUCUUAAUUCUUCAGAGUCCAUACCUUCUAUAGGGUCCUAUGCCCCUAGACCCCCUCCUACUAUAUCUAUCACAAAUCGGGACCCCAAAGGCAAGGGAAUCCUCGGUGAACCCCCAAAGCCAACCCCUAGAAUUCAGUGCUAUAAAUGUUAGGGUUUCGGUCAUGUUGCCUUCCAAUGUGCCAAUAAGACCCUAGUUAUUGAUCAACAAGAUUCGAAAAAUGAUACAGUUGAAUUGAAAGAACAAGUUUAUGAACCAAACAUCAAUGACAUUCAGGACAUUGAUGAGGAAGCGCGUGAUGAAGAAGCUAAUGCCCUAAGAUGUAUCCGCGCUAUACCUAUAUCUGUUGCGCCUUUAGAGAGAUAUUCUGACCGGUCCACUAUAAGUGUAGUCCACAUCCUGCAUCCUGUUGAAUUUAAAACUUGGGGUUACGUAAUGAUCCGUCUUAAGGAAGUGCAGUCCCUUAGUGUUGGACUAUUCAGGGUGUUGCACAAGGAUGGCACUGACGCCUCUACCAUCGACUUUCCAUUUGAUUUGGUAAUAGUCUUACUUUUAAUAUCAAAGAUUUGAUUAUAAUCCCUGAUGACUUUUUUUGCUGAACCCUCUCCCGAGCCAAUUGCUUAUCUUAUUACUGAUUCCAUGCCAUCUUCAUCUCCUUUUUUUCUCCAUCGAACACAAAAAGAGUAUAUUGAUUCUAUUUUAGUCGAGCAAAUAGUUUUUACGAGUGAUGGAGGCAUCCAGUGUAUCCUAGUUCAUUGGCGAGGACGACCGAAGUCCGGCUACACUUGGAUCCCGUGCGAGGAGCUACAACCGAUUGAUUCGGACUUGUUGGAGUACUACCGGUGCUACACCGAGCCGCUUUUGUCGAGGUCGACUUCUUUCCACCUAGAGAGAGUUGGUGCGGAUACUAGUACCAGAUCAGCCGGUCGCCAUAAAAUCCAUCCAGUUCAGCCAGUUCAGUUAGCUUGAUGUUAAUGAACCUAUUUUCAUUUCAUUUUGGAUGGAAUAACCUAUGAUCAGCUAGUUCUUCAGUUCUUAAUUAACUUAAGAGUCAUCUGAUAGUAAUUAAGAUAUCAUCCUAUCAAUCUAACAUGACCUAAGUCACUAUUGGAUUAGUUUUAUCAUCUAAAAGUGUGGUUGAGGUAUGAGAUUACUUUGUAGAAGUCGCUUUUGACAUAUUUUUAGUUGAACUAGAUGAAUUAUAGAGGCAAUCAUGAAUUUUAGUCAAUGUAAGAGGCCUUGGAAAACUAUAGAUUCCCCAUAUAGUCAUUUCUUUUACAUCAUAUGACUAGUGAAUUGAAGCUUUUGAAGUUCUCUAUUGAUAUUGUUCAUGAUUUGAUUCCACCUUGUUGUGGUGUGACUUGGUAGUAACUUUCUCCAACUUGAAGGCUCUAAGUGUCGAUGAAGAAAUGGGAAGCCCAAGCAAUGAUCAAUAUGAUUUGAUUGGAUCGAGGGAUUAGGUUGAUGCAAAUCUAACAAGUUAUCCUAGCUUAAUUUAGCUUCUAGUUGUUCAAGUAUUAUUGAAAUAGGAGAGUCUAGAGCCACCACACGCCACCUAGAUCUUAAUCUAGACUUCGGGGAAGACUAUGCUUGUGCUUGUGCAACUAGUACUUUUAGUUGGGGUUAAACAUUAAGAGAUGAUGCCAAUCAAAAUUGAACCCCCGUACUCUUGUCCGAGAGGUGAGAGGGUGUACCACUGGGCUAUGCACUCAAGUUAUUUUUUUCUCUUUUUGAGCAAUGUAGUUAUCUUUUUGUGUUUUAUAGUUGUUCUAGUUUAGAUCAAGUUUUCUAGCUCUUCUUUCUUUUUCUUACUUACUAGUUAGUUUUUAGAUCAAGCUUUCUAAUUAUUUCUUGCCUUUUAUAAAACCUCAAUGCCUUUAAUAGAAAAGCCUAUGUUUAGGUUCUGUCAGGUUUAUUGCAGCAGUCUACACAACAAAUUGUGUUCUAAUUUGUGAGCGUCCUUAAUCAUAUCACUUCUGCAACCCCACGUAAGAUAUCCUUUUACUUCCUUGUGCACACCUUGACUUCAUGUAGCUGGAUCCACUAUACUUCUUAUUCAUGUAGGUAAGAAGAGGCUUGAUAGAGGGAAAAAUGGGUCAUCCAGCCCACAACUAAAAGGCCGCCCAGUUUUGGCACAGUAAACAUCAACAACAAUCGGAUGAAUUUUCACCUCGGCCCAGGGCCAGCUCAUCCUCGGAACUUCGCCGAAAGCUUCACCAACUCCGGACAUUCGCCGACUCCUCCGACCAAGUUCGGGGUGCCUCCAGACAAACGCCGACCCGUCCCGACCAAGUUCGGGACACCAAACCCCCAGCAAUACGCUCCGACUUUGAGCUCGGGGUGCACAUCCGAACACACCUCGAAACCUACGAAACCGAGCUGCUCCCAGUAUCCGCCAAGCCGACCUCAUCAAGCGCAUAACACGACUACUUAACGAGCUCGGCCUCGUCAGCGACCGCACCCAUGUGUGGGCCUAUGCCCACCUACAUGACCGUACUCUACCACACUACCUUGUCAUGUCUCCAUAAUCGGCCAACAGCAGUCAGACGACACCCUGCCUAUUCCAGCCGUACUUUGCUGUGACUUCAACGCCCUACUGUUCUCAAGAACGGACUGUACCGCACAUUACCAGCCAACUUGAGCUGCGCGCCAUUCGGCUCAAAGCCAUACUCUCUCAUGAUGGGGACUGACAGUACCUCCAUCACCUGGGCCACUCCACCGAGGCUAUAAAUAGCUCGGUCAAGUAAUUUCAAAGGGACCUUUGGCUGGACCAAAAUUACCCACUCUAGCUUAAUCGUCGGAGGGCCCCCAUCAGAAACACCGGUGAGGCUUUGUGUAGGACCGCGGCCGUCGCGCAGGAGGUGACUCCCGUCUCCCCCUUUCCAGCACCGGCAGCUCCCUUGGCUCCACCGACGUGGUCACCCUCGGGCCAGAUUUGAACCACAACAAGGCCCUUUACCUGCAUCACAUACUCAACACCACUUUAUUCUUCAAUUUUUUUUCCUCCUAAAACCAUUAUUAUAUGUACCUUCUUAAUCACUUGAACCAUCUUUGACUAGCCUAUGGUUGAUAUGCAUAAUUAUUAAAAUUCUAGGUGCAUAAAAAUAGGUUUUUAGGCUUUGUCCAAACCAUGGUGACACAUUUGCCUGAGAUGCCAAAUCUAAAAUAAACCAUCUGUAAUUAGGUUGGUCUUCACCAACCCAAAUUUAAUCCUAUUAUUAAAGUACCUAGUUAUUCUAGGCAAGUUAGUUUGGAUUGCCUAUCUAUGUAAGAAAUCACCACCCCUAAUAAUGAUAUUAUGAUUCUUUUAAUAAAAUAAUCCAUUUAAGUGAUACAUAAUAUAUAUAAUUUAUUAUUAAAUGGUAUUAUCAUUUUGUCGACAUAUAUUUCAUAAUAUUAGCAAUAUAUAUUUUAUAUAAUAUUCAUAUUAAUUAUUGUUGAUGUAAUAAAAAAGAAUAAAAAUAUGCUACAUAAUAUAAUGUUAUAUCUACCAUUAUACAUUAUUAUUAGUAUAUAUAUUAGUAAAUUUAAAAUGAUAUAUUACUUUUACAAUAUUAAAAAUGCAAUAUAUACAAUAUUAAUCAUAUACUAUGUACUCAUAAUAUAUGAGCGAGACUAGAAGAUGUUAAGUGCAUUUGGGAUAAUAUGCUUCCCAACAAAAUUUGAUGAUGAACCUUUCAAAAUAAAAUCCUCACCAUGGGUCAUGAUCUAAGACAUCAAAAUUGGCUAGAAAGAAAAGGUCAUCAUUACUAGUCUUUAACCAAUGUAUUAGAUCAUGAAAAACUUUAACAUUAUAACACCGUGUUCUUGUUCAAUCUAUAGUCUAUACAUUUCCAAACCAGAUAAAAUUUGACAUUUAUAUGUCUUGAAAUAUUUAGAUCAUGAUCAAAGGCUUGGGUUUGCAAAUCAUGUAGUUUAUGAUAUGUUUUUUGCUCCUUAGAUAUAUUGCUACAAUUUUGUUCUUGCCUAAUGCAUAUGCCAAAAUCCUUUACCAUAAUUGAUUUUUAAUCUUUAAAUAUUUUACAUAAUAUAGAUCGGGAACAAUGGUAAGAGGCUUGCCAUCAGUUUCAAUGGGAAGCAUUUGAAGCUCAAUAUAUUGAAGAGCAUUUUAUCCUAACUCCAAUAUAUAGUUCAACGUACAAUACAAAAAUCAUGGUAUGUUAAUAUAUACUAGAUUAUGGUAUGCACCAUGGAUGAUGAUAUAUAAUGUGUCUAAAUGAUAAGAAAAAACAAGUGAUUAAAAUUCUAAAAUACAUGUUAUGUUAAUAAUUUAAUAUAAAAUAUUACAAUAAACAAAUUCAUAUAUUUUAUUACUAUAAAAAUAUAUUGUAUCACAGUAACUAUUAAGUGAUUUGUUUGGUCAAUUGUAUGGAGAUUAAGGAAAUAAGUUGCCAUUAAUUUUUAAAGUUGGUAAAUUUGUGGGCAUAGAUAUAGGAUAAAACUACUUGCAGCCAUUAUAUGUAGGCUUAAGCAAAAAAAGUAGAUUUUACAACUCAAAGUAAAAUCAAAUCAAACAAAAGCUACAAAUCAAUUUACAACAUUAUGAAUUUCAAUUGCAAGUGAAACUAUAGGAAAGUGGAAGCAUAUUUAACAAAAUAUCUCCUAAAUCAACUAACUCUCAAUGAAAUAAAAAAAAUCUCUAAGAUAGUUAUACUUCUUUCAACAACCAAAAAGUAAAAAGACAAAGAACUUGUGUUUAUCAGUUGCAGUCUUUAAGCAUCCAAGCAAAAUGAAAUAGUUUCUAGCUGAAAUUUCAAGUAGCUAAAAAACUAUAAAUUGAACCAUAACAUUUUAAAUUGCAAUUGCAAUGUAAAUUACAUCAAAGUGGAAACAAGUACAAGCAACCCAAUGUAUCCUAAUUGGACUAUUCUCAGAAUAAAAAACUUCUUAUGGAUUGGAUUAUUAAUUUAAAAGGAAAUUUAUUAAGAAGAGUAAUAAUUUCAUAUAUCAAAAAUAUUAGAAGAGAUAGCAAAACGAGUUUAGGUCCUAGCAACUCUAUUGGUCAUUUUAGAAGUGUAAUAUGUUAUUAUAAGUCAAUUUUGUUUAACUAAAUUUCUGCAAGCAAUUAGUUACAUUCCAAAUUCUACUAAGAGGAUUAAAUGAAUUAGGCAUUAAGAAUUUCAAAUGUUUAAGUGGAAAACCUUUUUUUUCUCGAAAAAUGCUUUCAGUUCAUUGAAUAAUAAAUACUUUAAUUUUUUUUGUGAAUCCUACUAUAUUACCUUGGUUAGAUACCCAUUUUCACUUGUGCAUCUAACAAAAAAUUCACUAGGAAAUGGAAAAGAGAUGACAAAAUGAGGGAAGGGACAAAAAAUUCUACUUGCCAUUUUAGGAGUGUAAUAUAAAAUAAUAAAAUAAUUUUGUUAAAGGUGGCCCAUGCAGGUAAUUAAUGAUACUAGAAGCUUCACAAUAUUCAAGCACUAUCCAUUCAGUUAAAUAUUAAAUACCAUAAGUUACUAAAAUAAAUUCUUCCGCGCUCCUAUUCUUAAUUACAUAACAAUUUUUGUCUUUACAUUUAACCAACUUCCAAAAAGGGAAAGAUAAUCUUUUCCUUUACCCAAAAAGGAAAGAUAAUCUUUUUAAUAAUAAAUUUUAGUUCGCAAAGUGAUAAGUAUAAAUUAAUUUUCCAUUUUUGUCGCUACAUGCAUUGCUAAGGAAAGCCAAACCAAAUAUAGCCACGCUUGCGGCCUUGCCAUUCUCUAACGUCAUUUGUCUCUACUGCACCCGGCCGUUUGUUUAUUACCGUUAGAUUAGGCUCAAUGCAUCGGGCACGGUAGUUCUGUAAGUACCGAGCCCAAAAAGGGAUGCGAUAAAUGCGGACGCCAAAGUCGCGGCUCCAAUCCGGCACUGGAUAUCCUUCAGGCCCGUGACGCCGUUUGCGGGGUCGGAGCGGGGGGGGCAUCGGCUGACCCUGCGGGCCUUAACCGUCUAUCAUUUCUUCCCCCCAUAUAAAUAUAUUAAUAUUUUCCGCUGAGCUCGUACCAAUUCGUUCGAGAGCGGGAACUCGUCCACCCCAGCGAAAACUCGAAAACAGAGCAGAUGGCGGCCAAUGAAGCAGAGAGGAAGGUAGCGGAGGAAUCGCCGGCUGAGAAAGAGCGCGGCGCGGAGGAGGUCGUCGACAGGGAGCUCACGGCGCCACCGGGCUGGAGGAAAAAGGUUCGAUUUCGAUUCUUUCCAUCUCUUUUUUGGGGACCUCUGGUUCGUUCUUCUCUUCUCAUGCGCUAAUUUCUUGUUUCCUGCCUGUUUUUCUGCUUCUGAGACGAGAUCUUGGUUUCCUGCUUUGCAUGCUAGGGUUUCUGAGCUUUUCUUUGGCUGUUUCUUGUGGUUCCUUGAUCAAGAUUUAUUUUGGAGAUGUUUUGGUUAAUAUUAGGAUUUUGAGGCUGUGUUUGGUACGGACUUUGGGAGAUUUUGAGGUUCUAGGUGCUUGAUUGCGGCGAAUUAUAGUGUUUCCUUGCUGAAUCAGCUAGAUGAAGUGCUUUGGUGUUGGGGUGAUCUAGGGUUAGGUAUGGGUUGUUUGCUAAUGGUAAGUUGUUCCAGACGAUGAAAAUAUUUGGCUUGUGUUUAUCUUUUCGAUUCUCUGUACUGGCUAUAGGACUGCAGAGGAAAAGACCUGUGAUGUUUUGGUGCAAGCGGAGUGGAGGGAAAUACUGCUGAAUAUAAUUUUCGUACUAGGAUUGAGUUCUUUUUCGCACUAAUGAAACAUUUUCAGGCUUGCUGCAAACUUCUUUUUUGUUUUUUUUGUUCUUUGCUUUUUUUGUUUUUCGAUUUUUUAUGCGUGAGUGGGUGCGCGUGUGCAUGUGGUAGAGUCUUACAUCUGGUUACAGAAAAUAGGAUAUCUGAAGUAGUUGAAGCUUGAUUCCUACUUUUAUAGUACAAUAGCUACCUAUGCAAUAAUUUGAGCUGCACCUGUAAAAUCUUUAGUUCUCUACAGGAUUCACUGUACCGGUGCUGGAUCGUUACCGGUACCGGACCCCAUACCGGUGCCACAUUAGUAUAGUAUCAGUACGAUAUGUUUUGAAAUUUUUUGGGUAUACCGAGUGUCGGUACGUCAUCGGUAUCGGUACUGGUAUCGAACUAGUAUGGUAUGGUACAUCCGGUACUGUCCGGUUCGGUAUGAUACGGCAUACCAUGGUUCUUUUUGCUAGAACAUUCUGGAGUGCACAUGAACCCAUAAUGUACUUAUCCUGUAAUACUUUUUAGUUCUAUUUUUUUUUCCAUUUCAAAGUGUUAACAUGGUACUUAGAUUAUACUCAUCACUAUGGGGUAUUUCUGAAAGCAGGUACAUGCUAUAUAUUAUUCACCUGAAUGUGUAAUCAUAAAUAGCAAAUUCUAUUAAAAUUAUUUGUGAGGCUGCUUUCUGUACUUUACAAUUUGUUCAUGCUAUCAAAUGUCUGAGUUUUAUGUUAGAAUAAAUAGAUCUGUGUGAACAUAUUUAAUUGCAUGGAAAGUAGUUCAACUGGUGGUUUGAAAUCGUACGCUUGUCAUUGUUCCCCUCUAAUUUUUCUUUUCUAGCUUCUAUGGUUGUGGUGUAACUUCGACUAUGUAAUCACUGCUGAUUAAUCAGUCUACCAUAAGAUUUGGGGAAUGAAAUAUAACUUGGCUUGUUUCAUUAGAAGUUAUAGUCUUCUAGUUUAUUAAUAAUUAUAAUUUUAGUAGUGGUUUCAUAAAUUAUAAUCAACCUACGAUCUCUUGUGUGCCCCCUCAGAGUUUUAGAUUAACCUGUUUUUCUUAAGUUGUAGAGUGUUUGAUGAUUAAUGUUUUGGCUCUUUUAUGGAACCAUGUUUGAAGUAUUUCGCUUCAGAUGAUUAUCGGCAUGAUCAGUGUUGUUGGUAUUGAUUUUGCCUAGAUGUUUUCUGCUAUAGCCUGCACAGGAAUAAACACUCUAUGCUACACAUAAAUCAAUUUCUGUUAAUUUCUGGGUGGACUAUACUUAAGGGACUUUAUCAUCAAUUUAUUUAAAUGGAUUAGGAAACUUCUUCCUUAUCCCCCAAACUCACAAAUGCACCCUACUUGUGAUGGGAAGACUUUUAAUCAGUAAUGUGCUUCCAUUCACGGUAAUUAUGGCCAACCUACGCCACAUACCACAAGUAUGUGAAUUUGCAAAAAUCAUAUUAUGCCAUGUUACUGAUAUGUUUCUUUUCUUACUUGGGGUUGCAGCCACAUUGGCUUUGGGGCCUAUUUAGGCUUGAUUAUAUGCUGCCUCAGGCUGGAAUUUGUCCUAUUUGAAAGCCUUGGACAUGCUCUGCACAAUGUGCUAAAAUAAGAUGGAAAUUCACCACUUCAAUCCACAAAUUGAAACAAUGAUACAAAACCAACAAUGUAACUUGACAAAAACUUCCAGAUGUUGUCCUAAGUAUUUAUGACAUCUAGGUACAAGAAACUAGAUUAUAAGUAGAAGUUCAACAUCAAAUUGCACGCCAUUGAGAAAAUAAAACCCUUUCCCUGAUGUAUCUGAUAAUAUCAAUUGCUGAUUAGCUUAUAUAUUAUCCUCUCAUUUUUAAUUCUCUGCUCAAAACCAUUAUGUAGUGUAUUUUUUUUAUUAAAACUUGGUCUCCUUAUUCUGUUUUGGUUUAUUUAGUUAAGUCUAGCAUUAUUGGAUGUUAGCUUGUUAGAAUUUAUGAGCUAAAAUUUUUUAAGUAGAGUAUGCAUAUUGCUCAUGUUAUGUCUAUCAAUAUGAAAUUCCUGUUUAUUUUAUUUUAAGAGCUUAGAUCUAUUCAAAUGGGUAAACCUUUUUGUCUAAUUGUUCUUGUCUAUGUACCCCUGUAAUGCAUGAAGUUUGCUAGGUUCAAAAAUGGACUUCCUUUUGGAUGUGAGUGAAUGUACCCUGCAGCAAUGGGGCAUCAUUGCAUGUUGAGUCACAUAGUAUGCAAUACUGAGUCAACCUUGGUAAGAUACAUGAUGGAUUGUAAUUAAAAUGAGAAAGAUGAUUCUUUGAUACUAGUAUUGCAAUACUUGGAUACUUGGAUAAGAGUAUGAUACAUGAUGGAUCUGAAGUCCUUAAGAUCUUCUAUAUUGGAUUAGAGAUGACUGCAAGUAUUUAACUAGUAUCAAUGCUUUAUUGGGUUAUUUAAACAAUGAAAGGACAACAAUGUCAAAGGCUCUUCAUGAGAUCACAAUAAAGUGGAUGGAAAUUAGAUUCUUCUCCUGUCAUCAAGGCACAUAUCAUUCAUAUUUGCCCCCUAUUUAGAAGGAUCCCAUCUUUUGUCGUAACCUCCAUGGUUAUCAAUUCCACGAAAAAGAACUAUUUUACUGCAUUUGUUGAUUCUCCAUGGUUUUUUUGACUUUGUAAGGAAGUGCAUUUUUCUUCAGUGGAUCUUGUGACUAGGACUGCCUCCAAUUCUGUAUUGCUUUCUCUAAAAGAGAACCUAAACCCUAUCCUUAACCCUUGCAGAAUAUCAGAGGCUAGUCAAAACAAGUGCAGGAAUCACCAAGCUAAUUAGCUCUCAAUAGAAUGAUGUAAUCUAAUUUUAAACUCCAAAUGUUAUUAGAUGCCCCUUUGGAAACAAACAUAAGAAAUAUGACACCACAUACCUCUAUUAUUUCUGGAUUUGUUUUGUUACUCAGCCUAAAAGGUUUAUGUCAACAAUUCCUCUUGAUUCAUAUGUUCUUUUAUAUUAUGAUUGUGUAAUAAUUCUCAAUGGUUUUGCUAAUUUAAACUUUGAGCAAGAUUCCUUGUAGAUGGACCAAUCUGAGAAAGAGUUGGAUGUUAGCUUCAAGAUAGGCUUGAAACAUAAUGAAGCUUUUGUCUUCCACAAGUCCAUAACUUCAUCUAGUGGCUUUUAAUAUAACUAAAUAGAUCCACUUAUCAAUAGAUAAAACUAAUCUAAGAAUCUUUUGCAUAACUGUCAACUGAACGCCUUUCCUAGGCUCAUAACCGCCUAGUUAGGUUUCAAAUUUUAUCUUGAUAAAGCAUGACUUUAUCAUCUAGUAAGAUUUUAGAGAAAUUGGGGGCAUUUGGUAUUUGAAACUACAAAGGGUAAAUAUGAAUAAAAUUUAUGUAUUUAUAGCAUAUGCUACUUAUAUAUAUGCCAUAUGCCAUUUUAUUUAAGGUAUUUUAUUCAACAAUUAUCAGUCAUUUAUAUCUCAAUUUUUUAAUUAUAGCAGUACAUGGGCAUGUUCAGUGCAUACUUUGUAAAGUUUGAAAUUUAUGAAUAAUUUGACAUUAGAAAAGUUGGAAAAAAGAUGAAAUCAGUAUAAGUAUGGAUGGAAUGCAAUCUAAUGAGGCAACUUUGAAAUCUAUGUGAGAUUCGUUUUACAAUAACCAAUACCCAUAAUUAUUGUAUAAUAAAGUUUGAAUUGUGAAUCAUUACACCUAAGGGCAAGUUUAAUAUGCCUGAAGACCCCAACUUGCUCUUUUAGUAUAAUUUAAAUUAACCUCAUGAAUAAGAAAAACCUAGGUAAAAUGAUGCAGAAGUGGGGGUGGAAUCAUAAAGAAAAGAAUGAUUAAUAUACUGAUAAAGUGGAUAUUUUUAUUUUCAAUUAUAUUUAGGAAGUAAAUUAUCAAUGAAGAUAUCUGUUAUAUAUUUAUAAAAUAUGACUGCAGUAUGGUAGUAGUCUUGUUUAAGGGCUUACUAGAUGCUGGAGUUAAACAAAAUGUCAUAAGUAGGUCUAGGGACCUUUUCUUUUGUGGAAUAAGAUGGAAAAUGCUUACGAGGCAAUGAAUUUUCUGGUUUGAUGAUCCUCAGUAAAAUCAUAAAUGGUUCCAGAUGAUCUAUACUGGAGAUUUUGGAAGAAAUGCUAAAGUGUGGAAUGAAGUGGGUUGUUUUGAUGAGGAGUUGAAGGUUAUUUUGGCUUUCUUUGGAAAAGAAUUGGGGAAGUGGCUGAUUAAUUGACUAAUUUCUGGUGUUUGUCAAUCCAAAAAAUCUUUUGCAACUACCAUGAGCAAGAAUAUCAGAUACAUUGAAACCUUACUUUUCACUUAUGAAAAUAAUCUACCAAGAUUUGUACUUUAGCUAUACUGUUGAAUCCUCUUUAUAUUUUUCCUUUCUGUUGCUGAUUGAUUUACAGCAAGGUAACACAGUUGAAAAUAUAUGAUUGUAGGUGUGGAAAAUGAAAAUUGUUGGGGCUAGUGGAGCCUAAAUAGAUUUUGGUGAAGGAGAUCUUGAAAGGGAAGGGAUUAAGGUUCUUCAAAUAGGUACUUCAAAUGGGCUUUGAUGGGAGGAAAUGUAGCCAAGACUUGAAUAAUUUUGCCAAGUAAGGUGAUAUGGGUGUCUAUUAUAUUUCACAAAAUGCCAUACAAGAGAAGGUAGUUUCUGAUGAAGGCAUUAAUUUGUAAGAAAAUAAUUAUUAAUUGUGGUUUUCUUUUAGGACUACUAGUUCUUCUUAUUUUAAAUAAUUAUUGAUAGAUAACUUGGUGGCAUUAGCCCAUGAGGAUGGAUUUUGAGGUGAUCAAAAGGUGGGAGAAAGGGUGUAGAAUUUCAGGAUGAAGUGGUCAAACAUGGGGUAUUGAGGACGGAAAAAAGUUCUUGCUUCAAAUGGUUCCCUUUUUAUGUAAAGUUUUGGCAGAUUUUGAAGGGUGAUAUAAUGAAGGUUUUCCCUGAGAUCAACUAGCAUGUUUUUUUUGUACAGGAUUUAGUUGCACUUCUUCUUCUUCUUCUUCUUUUUCUAAGGAAGCCAUUACAAAAAAUAACAGAGAAGUGAUAGAUCUUGAUCUUUUAAGAGCAAUCCAGUUGUUGAGUGGAUUUGUUUCCAAUUCUUGAACAAAUCAAAUAGAUGAAAGGUUGAAAACUCUUUAUGUUUGAUGGUGCUAUGAACAGAAAUGAGUGAGUUCUGUGCAAAAUUUUAUCUCCGAAGUAACAGAAAAGGCCAUGGUACUCAAACUAUGAUGUGCUUACAGAUUACUUCCCUUCUCAGCGUUCCCAUCCAAGCAUUCUUUUCUCAUCCUCCAAUCUGAAUUUGAGACCCAUAAUGCUUGCAGCUGUCUCUGGAAUUUUCUAGAUGAACCAUGUUAAAAAGUUUUUGCAACACAAUUAAAAGAAAAUACUCAAAAUAGCAUUAGAAAACAAAGUAAGGGAGACACUUCUAUCUUUUAAGGUUUGUUUUGGAAAGAAGGUCGAUGAGUAAUGUCAAUGUCAACUGCUUAAAUUUUUAACUUAAUAUCUAAGCAUACGAACCAAGGUCCAGCUUGUCCACCUGUUUAAGUCCAUCUAGAACUUGAGCAAUCCUCAAACC